UGGGGAAUUUUGGACAAUGGGCGAAAGCCUGAUCCAGCAAUGCCGCGUGUGUGAAGAAGGCCUUCGGGUUGUAAAGCACUUUUGUCCGGAAAGAAAUCCUUGGCUCUAAUACAGUCGGGGGAUGACGGUACCGGAAGAAUAAGCACCGGCUAACUACGUGCCAGCAGCCGCGGUAAUACGUAGGGUGCAAGCGUUAAUCGGAAUUACUGGGCGUAAAGCGUGCGCAGGCGGUUUGCUAAGACCGAUGUGAAAUCCCCGGGCUCAACCUGGGAACUGCAUUGGUGACUGGCAGGCUAGAGUAUGGCAGAGGGGGGUAGAAUUCCCCGUGUAGCAGUGAAAUGCGUAGAGAUGUGGAGGAAUACCGAUGGCGAAGGCAGCCCCCUGGGCCAAUACUGACGCUCAUGCACGAAAGCGUGGGGAGCAAACAGGAUUAGAUACCCUGGUAGUCCACGCCCUAAACGAUGUCAACUAGUUGUUGGGGACUCAUUUCCUUAGUAACGUAGCUAACGCGUGAAGUUGACCGCCUGGGGAGUACGGUCGCAAGAUUAAAACUUAAAUGAAUUGACGGGGUCAUAGCUGUUUCCUG
Molecule: ribosomal RNA, 586 nt
Filed under: uncultured bacterium
Lineage: Bacteria
Description: partial 16S ribosomal RNA
Rfam family: Bacterial small subunit ribosomal RNA
Source: RNAcentral